This is a non-coding RNA of Ictidomys tridecemlineatus (thirteen-lined ground squirrel), 735 nucleotides long. NCBI's taxonomy places the organism in Eukaryota, Metazoa, Chordata, Mammalia, Rodentia, Sciuridae. The record is from RefSeq and is a predicted model, not a curated record.
UGAUGCUGGAGGACUCGGUGGGGAUGGGGUGGCCGCUUCCCAGGUGCCGUUGGCUGCAAGCUUCGAGGUAUUGAUUUCUUGGCCUGCAUUUCUGAAAUCAGGUAGAUGGCCCCGAGUCGCAGGAAUGAUUCAGAGAGGGGCUGAAUUCCGACUUGCAGAUUCCACCCACAGCACCUGCCAGAGGGUUUUUCUCGUUUUCCUAGGAAGAGAGAAAGGGCCCCGUGUCCCUGGACUAGCCUGCUGGAGGAGAGACACUCACGGAGAAGGAACACACUGUCCCAGCCCAGGCCAUCCUGGACCAGGGAGGUCCUGGCCGAAUCUACCAGCUGACCAUCAGUGAGUCCAGGCAAGAUCGGCCAAACCUGGUCCAGUGAUUUCAGACUCUAAGUUCCCAGAUGGCUCACACCCUCUUGGCAGGAAGAAGAACCCCUUAAUGAGACGCUGGCCAGCACUUCCUAUACCCCUGAACAGGACGGGUGGGCCACCCAAGCCGUGUGGAGCCAUCUUGAACUUCUUUCCCUACUUGGACCAGAACGCUCCGUUCGCCACCCAGUCUUGUGUCUGUGACUCUGUGAAUAUCUCUCCUCUCCGUCCUCAUGGUCAGACCCUGGCCUAGGCCACCAGCUGUCAUUCCUGCUGACAGACACGUGAGCCCUGCUCCCCCUGCUUACAGCCUUCCAGGCUAUCACCACCCCAGGUAAGAGGCAGACCCCUCACUCGACCCCCAGGACCCCC